RNAcentral lists this ribosomal RNA (450 nucleotides) under uncultured bacterium. Its description in RNAcentral is "partial 16S ribosomal RNA". It matches the Rfam family "Bacterial small subunit ribosomal RNA", at positions 354 to 796 of the family's 1533-position model. The record is from RNAcentral.
GUGGGGAAUAUUGGACAAUGGGCGAAAGCCUGAUCCAGCCAUGCCGCGUGUGUGAAGAAGGUCUUCGGAUUGUAAAGCACUUUAAGUUGGGAGGAAGGGCAGUAAGUUAAUACCUUGCUGUUUUGACGUUACCAACAGAAUAAGCACCGGCUAACUUCGUGCCAGCAGCCGCGGUAAUACGAAGGGUGCAAGCGUUAAUCGGAAUUACUGGGCGUCAAGCGCGCGUAGGUGGUUUUGUAAGUUGGAGGUGAAAUCCCCGGGCUCAACCUGGGAACUGCCUCCAAAACUGCAUGACUAGAGUACGGUAGAGGGUAGUGGAAUUUCCUGUGUAGCGGUGAAAUGCGUAGAUAUAGGAAGGAACACCAGUGGCGAAGGCGACUACCUGGACUGAUACUGACACUGAGGUGCGAAAGCGUGGGGAGCAAACAGGAUUAGAUACCCUUGUAGUCC